Molecule: long non-coding RNA, 1428 nt
Organism: Dreissena polymorpha
Lineage: Eukaryota; Metazoa; Mollusca; Bivalvia; Myida; Dreissenidae
Exons: 2
Source: RefSeq, a predicted model, not a curated record
AGAGUGAUAUCCCAGGAAGAGCAGGAGGUGACCUCUGUGAUGACCACAUACGAGCCUCUGUAUCCUCCAGGACAGAUCCUCCAUGUGCUAGAGAAACAGGAUGAUAACAGAGCCUGGUCAGAGGCACCAGAAUAUUACGUGGAAUGGGGUGAACUGCAGCACAUUUGGGGAGAUAGUGUUGAGUCGGAGGAUGAUAGCUCACCACUUCCCCGACACUCUGCUGGCUGCAUUGAGGCAGCUGGCUGCACACUUUGACCUGGAGGGCAAGAAGGACUCCUGAUUGGCUUCCUUGAGAAGACAUCGGGCUAAGGUGGAAAGCAAUCGGGCCCUUUGGAGUUGUUUUCAUGCAAGUUGAUGUCUCAGUCUUCCAAGUUGGUGGCGUUAUCACGUUAGACAAGUAAAUUUAUGUUUUAAUGUAUAGCGAAUGUAAAGAAUUAUUUUUGUUUUGUUAUGUAUAUGGAUAUCGUGUGUGCAAUAUAUUAGCAAUCUCAUUAUAUGAGCAGCAUUGUGCGAAAAUAGGUAUUAUGCCAUAUGCUGUUAGCAUAGAUCACCCUGCGCAUUUACAAUAAUCAAGUCAGGGGCUGCCUGUCCCUUUAAACUCGUGUAAGGUUUUAUAAAACUUUAGAGGACAUUAUGGCUACUCAUAGUAGUUGGAUACAGAGGCUCCAAUAUGUCUUAAGACCUAUUUUCGCACGAUGCGCAGACUUGCAGGUUGGAAUCAAUCAGGCUAGGCAUAUUGAUGCAUUAGCAGAGUUGUAUGUGAUUUUAUGCGGGUUUUUGUGUUAACAUGAUCAAGAUAGAAGUGUUUAUGUUAUUCUAUUCAAAUCUCACUGCUUAUUUCUGUGAUUUUACAGAUAUUUUUAUUUUGAGUUUUUUAUAUUAUAUUUUAUGUGUUUUUUUUAAAUGUUUAUGAAAUGAUUUAUUUACUCACUUGUUCUGAGAUAAAUCAUAUUUAAAUUUUAUUAAGCAUUAGUGCUUUUUGCAUGAAGAUAAUUGAGACAGAGGAUCAUAAUAUACAUGUUUGUGAGGGUAAAAAGUUAGAUGUUGACACAUUCCAACUAAGGAGAUUAUGUACACAUUUGUUUUGUGUGGAACUGACAGCUAGGAGUGCUGUUAUUUCAAAAAUUGGUCUUAUGCUAUUUGUAGCCAGUGCAGCUUGAGCAAUUGCCUAGACAGGUCAGGAGCUACCUUGUGAGCUAAAAAAUCAUGCAGGGUUUUGUGGUCUCCUUAGUGCAUAGGUAGCUCUUGACCAGACUGCACAAAAUCUGAAGACAAGUGUGUAUGCAGCUCCUUUGGUGUCAUACGGCAUUAGACCCAUUUUUGCACGACUUGCUAAUAGUGUCAUAAUUGAACUAUGAUUUUGAUGCGUGCAACUUUGUGUGGAACUGACAUUAUGUCAUCUAAAGAAAAACUAUGGUAUGCAUAUUG